This 433-nucleotide ribosomal RNA is filed under the name uncultured bacterium. Its description in RNAcentral is "partial 16S ribosomal RNA". It matches the Rfam family "Bacterial small subunit ribosomal RNA", at positions 29 to 507 of the family's 1533-position model. The record is from RNAcentral.
AACGAACGCUGGCGGCAGGCUUAACACAUGCAAGUCGAGCGAGACCUUCGGGUCUAGCGGCGGACGGGUUAGUAACGCGUGGGAACGUACCCUUCUCUACGGCAUAGCCCCGGGAAACUGGGACUAAUACCGUAUACGCCCUUUGGGGGAAAGCUUUAUCGGAGAAGGAUCGGCCCGCGUUGGAUUAGGUAGUUGGUGGGGUAAUGGCCCACCCAGCCGACGAUCCAUAGCUGGUUUGAGAGGAUGAUCAGCCACACUGGGACUGAGACACGGCCCAGACUCCUACGGGAGGCAGCAGUGGGGGAUCUUAGACAGUGGGGGCAACGCUGAUCGAGCCAGGCCGGGUGAGUGAUGAAGGCCUUAGGGUUGUAAAGCUCUUUCAGCUGGGAAGAUAAUGACGGUACCAGCAGAAGAAGCCCCGGCUAACUCCGUG